GACGAACCGUCCAAACGUUAUUCGGAAUUACUGGGCUUAAAGGGUGCGUAGGCGGCGCGGAAAGUUGGGUGUGAAAUCCCUCGGCUCAACCGAGGAACAGCGCUCAAAACUACCGUGCUCGAGGGAGAUAGAGGUGAGCGGAACUUAGGGUGGAGCGGUGAAAUGCGUUGAUAUCCUAAGGAACACCGGUGGCGAAAGCGGCUCACUGGAUCUCUUCUGACGCUGAGGCACGAAAGCUAGGGUAGCAAACGGG
Molecule: ribosomal RNA, 253 nt
Filed under: uncultured bacterium
Lineage: Bacteria
Description: partial 16S ribosomal RNA
Rfam family: Bacterial small subunit ribosomal RNA
Source: RNAcentral